RNAcentral lists this ribosomal RNA (467 nucleotides) under uncultured bacterium. Its description in RNAcentral is "partial 16S ribosomal RNA". It matches the Rfam family "Bacterial small subunit ribosomal RNA", at positions 28 to 507 of the family's 1533-position model. The record is from RNAcentral.
GACGAACGCUGGCGGCGUGCUUAACACAUGCAAGUCGAACGGAAAGGCCCUGCUUUUGUGGGGUGCUCGAGUGGCGAACGGGUGAGUAACACGUGAGUAACCUGCCCUUGACUUUGGGAUAACUUCAGGAAACUGGGGCUAAUACCGGAUAGGAGCUCCUGCUGCAUGGUGGGGGUUGGAAAGUUUCGGCGGUUGGGGAUGGACUCGCGGCUUAUUAGCUUGUUGGUGGGUAGUGGCUUACCAAGGCUUUGACGGGUAGCCGGCCUGAGAGGGUGACCGGCCACAUUGGGACUGAGAUACGGCCCAGACUCCUACGGGAGGCAGCAGUGGGGAAUAUUGCACAAUGGGCGGAAGCCUGAUGCAGCAACGCCGCGUGCGGGAUGACGGCCUUCGGGUUGUAAACCGCUUUCGCCUGUGACGAAGCGUGAGUGACGGUAAUGGGUAAAGAAGCACCGGCUAACUACGUG